ACCUGGCAUACAAUGUAGAAUUCUGUUUGUUAAGCAACAGCUACAUUGUCUGCUGGGUUUC
Molecule: microRNA precursor, 61 nt
Filed under: Anolis carolinensis (green anole)
Lineage: Eukaryota; Metazoa; Chordata; Lepidosauria; Squamata; Anolidae
Description: Aca-Mir-221-P2a_pre stem-loop
Rfam family: mir-221 microRNA precursor family
Source: RNAcentral